This 567-nucleotide long non-coding RNA is filed under the name Eucalyptus grandis. Its description in RNAcentral is "long non-coding RNA (EGRA_LNC007644)". Lineage: Eukaryota; Viridiplantae; Streptophyta; Magnoliopsida; Myrtales; Myrtaceae. The record is from RNAcentral.
CUUUGGUGAUGCUGGGUUCCAUGGCAGGCGUCAUGCACAGCAAAAGAUAGAAGUUAUAUAGUAAUAGAUCAAUAUCCUGAAAAGUUUGACUUUGCCUCUGUAACGCAGCGUCACAUUGUGAGCCUUUUUUGCUCCGUGAUGCAUAAAUACCGUCCCAUACGUAGGAGUGCAGCGUAUUCACUGUUUGCAACAUUGAUUCAUUCGUGCGAAAGCAAGCAGACCUGUAGUUCAUGUAUCUGAGGAUCUUUGUUAGUCUUAACGAUUUUAAAGUACGUUCUUGCGGGCAGCUGUAGCUUUUCAGUUUUGCCUCCUUGGACUAUAGGUGAGGCAAUGCCCCCAUGGUAUAAAUGCAAAAAGCUGAAACUACUAAGAGUUUUAAGUAGCCGUGAGGCCUGCAAUCUUUUUCUUCCUCUAGUGUUUGUACUGCAUGGUGAACAUUGCGGCCUCCAACGAACUGCAUUCUUCGUUGUUGAUAUCGGUAGCAUACGUUAGGGGAGACAGAAGUCAGAAAAGAUCGUGAAUCUAUGGUGUAACUUUGGUGUCGUGAUUUUUUCUCUUGGGAGGGAU